RNAcentral lists this ribosomal RNA (371 nucleotides) under uncultured bacterium. RNAcentral describes it as "bacterial SSU rRNA". It matches the Rfam family "Bacterial small subunit ribosomal RNA", at positions 527 to 896 of the family's 1533-position model. The record is from RNAcentral.
GGGGGGGGCAAGCGUUGUUCGGAAUUACUGGGCGUAAAGGGCUCGUAGGCGGCCAACUAAGUCGGACGUGAAAUCCCCAGGCUCAACCUGGGAACUGCGUCUGAUACUGGAUGGCUUGAAUCCGGGAGAGGGAUGCAGAAUUCCAGGUGUAGCGGUGAAAUGCGUAGAUAUCUGGAGGAAUACCGGUGGCGAAGGCGGCAUCCUGGACCGGCAUUGACGCUGAGGAGCGAAAGCCAGGGGAGCAAACGGGAUUAGAUACCCCGGUAGUCCUGGCCCUAAACGAUGAAUGCUUGGUGUAACGGGUAUCGAUCCCUGUUGUGCCGAAGCUAACGCAUUAAGCAUUCCGCCUGGGGAGUACGGUCGCAAGGCUG